This 484-nucleotide ribosomal RNA is filed under the name uncultured bacterium. RNAcentral describes it as "partial 16S ribosomal RNA". It matches the Rfam family "Bacterial small subunit ribosomal RNA", at positions 30 to 507 of the family's 1533-position model. The record is from RNAcentral.
AUUGAACGCUGGCGGCAGGCCUAACACAUGCAAGUCGAGCGGAUGAAGGGAGCUUGCUCCUGGAUUCAGCGGCGGACGGGUGAGUAAUGCCUAGGAAUCUGCCUGGUAGUGGGGGAUAACGUCCGGAAACGGGCGCUAAUACCGCAUACGUCCUGAGGGAGAAAGUGGGGGAUCUUCGGGCCUCACGCUAUCAGAUGAGCCUAGGUCGGAUUAGCUAGUUGGUGGGGUAAAGGCCUACCAAGGCGACGAUCCGUAACUGGUCUGAGAGGAUGAUCAGUCACACUGGAACUGAGACACAGUCCAGACUCCUACGGGAGGCAGCAGUGGGGAAUAUUGGACAAUGGGCGAAAGCCUGAUCCAGCCAUGCCGCGUGUGUGAAGAAGGUCUUCGGAUUGUAAAGCACUUUAAGUUGGGAGGAAGGGCAGUAAGUUAAUACCUUGCUGUUUUGACGUUACCAACAGAAUAAGCACCGGCUAACUUCGUG